Molecule: ribosomal RNA, 457 nt
Filed under: uncultured bacterium
Lineage: Bacteria
Description: bacterial SSU rRNA
Rfam family: Bacterial small subunit ribosomal RNA
Source: RNAcentral
UACGGAAGGCAGCAGUGGGGAAUAUUGCACAAUGGGCGAAAGCCUGAUGCAGCUAUGCCGCGUGUAUGAAGAAGGCCUUAGGGUUGUAAAGUACUUUCAUCGGGGAGGAAAAACAAAACUAAUAAUUUUAUUUCUUGACGUUACCCGAAAAAGAAGCACCGGCUAACUCCGUGCCAGCAGCCGCGGUAAUACGGAGGGUGCUAGCGUUAAUCAGAAUUACUGGGCGUAAAGAGCACGUAGGUGGUUUUUUUAAGUCAGAUGUGAAAUCCCUGGGCUUAACCUAGGAACUGCAUUUUGAAACUGAAAUACUAGAGUAUCGUAGAGGGAGGUAGAAUUCUAGGUGUAGCGGUGAAAUGCGUAGAUAUCUGGAGGAAUACCUGUGGCGAAAGCGGCCUCCUAAACGAAUACUGACACUGAGGGUGCGAAAGCGGUGGGGAGCAAACAGGGAUUAGAUACC